AACGAACGCUGGCGGCAUGCCUAACACAUGCAAGUCGAACGAGACCUUCGGGUCUAGUGGCGCACGGGUGCGUAACGCGUGGGAACCUGCCCUUAGGUUCGGAAUAACUCCCCGGAAGGGGUGCUAAUACCGGAUAAUGUCUUCGGACCAAAGAUUUAUCGCCUUUGGUUGGGCCCGCGUUGGAUUAGCUAGUUGGUAGGGUAAAAGCCUACCAAGGCGACGAUCCAUAGCUGGUCUGAGAGGAUGAUCAGCCACACUGGGACUGAGACACGGCCCAGACUCCUACGGGAGGCAGCAGUGGGGAAUAUUGGACAAUGGGCGAAAGCCUGAUCCAGCAAUGCCGCGUGAGUGAUGAAGGCCUUAGGGUUGUAAAGCUCUUUUACCCGGGAUGAUAAUGACAGUACCGGGAGAAUAAGCUCCGGCUAACUCCGUG
RNAcentral lists this ribosomal RNA (433 nucleotides) under uncultured bacterium. RNAcentral's name for it is "partial 16S ribosomal RNA". It matches the Rfam family "Bacterial small subunit ribosomal RNA", at positions 29 to 507 of the family's 1533-position model. The record is from RNAcentral.